GGCUUAGAGUUUGAUCAUGGCUCAGGAUGAACGCUGGCGGCGUGCCUAACACAUGCAAGUCGAGCGAUUUACUUCGGUAAAGAGCGGCGGACGGGUGAGUAACGCGUGGGUAACCUGCCCUGUACACACGGAUAACAUACCGAAAGGUAUGCUAAUACGAGAUAAUAUGCUUUUAUCGCAUGGUAGAAGUAUCAAAGCUUUUGCGGUACAGGAUGGACCCGCGUCUGAUUAGCUAGUUGGUAAGGUAACGGCUUACCAAGGCGACGAUCAGUAGCCGACCUGAGAGGGUGAUCGGCCACAUUGGAACUGAGACACGGUCCAAACUCCUACGGGAGGCAGCAGUGGGGAAUAUUGCACAAUGGGCGAAAGCCUGAUGCAGCAACGCCGCGUGAGCGAUGAAGGCCUUCGGGUCGUAAAGCUCUGUCCUCAAGGAAGAUAAUGACGGUACUUGAGGAGGAAGCCCCGGCUAACUACGUGCCAGCAGCCGCGGUAAUACGUAGGGGGCUAGCGUUAUCCGGAAUUACUGGGCGUAAAGGGUGCGUAGGUGGUUUCUUAAGUCAGAGGUGAAAGGCUACGGCUCAACCGUAGUAAGCCUUUGAAACUAGGAAACUUGAGUGCAGGAGAGGAGAGUGGAAUUCCUAGUGUAGCGGUGAAAUGCGUAGAUAUUAGGAGGAACACCAGUUGCGAAGGCGGCUCUCUGGACUGUAACUGACACUGAGGCACGAAAGCGUGNGGAGCAAACAGGAUUAGAUACCCUGGUAGUCCACGCCGUUAACGAUGAGUACUAGCUGUCGGAGGCUACCCCCUUCGGUGGCGCAGCUAACGCAUUAAGUACUCCGCCUGGGAAGUACGCUCGCAAGAGUGUAACUCAAAGGAAU
This 878-nucleotide ribosomal RNA is filed under the name uncultured bacterium. Its description in RNAcentral is "bacterial SSU rRNA". It matches the Rfam family "Bacterial small subunit ribosomal RNA", at positions 1 to 910 of the family's 1533-position model. The record is from RNAcentral.